GUGAAUCAUCGAAUUUUUGAACGCAAAUUGCACUCUCUGGUAUUCCGGAGCGUAUUCCUGUUUGAGGGUCUGAUUAUAUACAUAUCGGUGUGUUUGCUGCCUUUCGUGGUGACGCACCGGAUUUGGUUAGUCUUGCCUUCGGUUGAGUGAUCUAAUUUUUUGCAUGAUUUUUUUCGAACGUUUUUAAAUGAUUUUACGUACGUUUGAGAUAUCGAAUACUAGUUGUGGUCAUCAUCAUGAUUCGCGGCGAUAAUUUUUCAUCAAA
RNAcentral lists this unclassified non-coding RNA (265 nucleotides) under Glomeraceae sp. RNAcentral describes it as "partial contains 5.8S ribosomal RNA and internal transcribed spacer 2". The stretch from base 1 to 71 matches the Rfam family "5.8S ribosomal RNA", at positions 84 to 154 of the family's 154-position model. Lineage: Eukaryota; Fungi; Glomeromycota; Glomeromycetes; Glomerales; Glomeraceae. The record is from RNAcentral.